Molecule: small RNA, 110 nt
Filed under: Loktanella sp. 3ANDIMAR09
Lineage: Bacteria; Pseudomonadati; Pseudomonadota; Alphaproteobacteria; Rhodobacterales; Roseobacteraceae
Also listed under: 1 other name
Description: Guanidine-I riboswitch aptamer
Rfam family: Guanidine-I riboswitch aptamer
About the family: This family represents a conserved RNA structure found upstream of the ykkC and yxkD genes in Bacillus subtilis and related genes in other bacteria. The function of this family is unclear although it has been suggested that it may function to switch on efflux pumps and detoxification systems in response to harmful environmental molecules.
Source: Rfam by way of RNAcentral
UGGCAGAGCACUUAGGGUUCCGUUGUCGCCCGCGACAAGCCUGGUCCAAGAAGAGCUACCGCGCCGGCAAAUUCCGGGGCGGCACACGGCGGGGCAAAAUCCCGGGAGGC